CUCUAUGUGAGGUGCAGUGGGGCGCACUGUUCAAUUCCGCGUGCCCAAUAUCAGAAACAGCAAGGUUCCCCAUAAAGAAUGCUGCACUAUUGGCCAAAUGGUUGGAAAGCAUGAAAGCUAGCUCAUAUGCAGUCACAAGCAUCAUGUUCAUUUUCUCACUCCACUUCGAGAAGUCAUGCUUCUACAGUGGUCUUGAGCGAGUGCGUCUGAAAGAACGCGCUGUGCCAACUCUCUUCAACUUUCAGGAAGAGACUGGACAGGGUGGUACUUCAAGAGUGUCCAUUGGAGGCACUGCGUACUGCGCAGUCCCAGCCACCCUGUGUUGAUGUUCCUGCACUGGCACGGCUGCUUCCAGAAACUGAAAAUCCACCGUUGGACAGACCAAGCUGCUCUCGGGAAUCUGCAACGGGCCAGGACAGUUUAUCGAGCACUACUGCAGAGACAGUGGAAGUAGGGCAGGACACCACCCUCUCAUUCGAGCUCUCUGAGGAAUCAAUACCCGACUUGGACAGACCGAGCAGCUCGUAUCAACCAAUCGUGGAAGAUGAAAGCAGCAGAGGUGCUGAGUGGCGAGCCCUCCAGGAUGAGCUGCUACGGGAUGAAACCAUGUCAACAACAUUAGAGGAGACAGAUAAUGAAGAAGCUGCCUCAAAGACUGGUGAACCACCGCCUGAGUGGCUGGAACAUAACUAUUUUUACUGGGAGACACCCCGCAAGAAGGUUAAAAGACUUUCCGACAACCUCUGGAAAACAAGGAAAAGACUCUACGCUUCCCAACAAGACCUAAAGCGCCAAGAUGCAAAACUUCUGAACCUCAAGUAAAUGAUUGAAAGGAUGAAGAAAGAUACCCUUCUGUCUUCAGAAGCAGCAGCACACAUAGGAUCCCUCAAGGAGCUCCCAAAGGAGCUACAUCCUAAAGGUCGCAGGUACGAUGAAGAGACACGUAACUUUGCAUCGACCCUCCAUUUUUAUUCUGCAAGAGCAUACGAAUUUGUUGCAAGUCGUUUUCUCAUGCCUAGUGAGAUGACAAUACGGAAUUGGCUUCAGGUAGUGGAAGGAUUUCCAGGCUUCACGAGAGAGUCAUUGGAAACGCUGAGAAAGCAAAAUCAAAGCUCGACAGACCACGACAAAUUGUGCACGAUUAUGCUUGAUGACAUGAGCAUCGUGACGCACUGCCAGCUUGACACAAAGAGUGGAAAACUUGUUGGCUAUGUGGACUGUGGAAGCACAUCACUACCAAGAGACACAAGGAACCUUCCGCUUGCGACAGAAGCUUUGGUGCUCAUGGCGUUGCAGCGCACUGGAAGAUGCCAUUUGGGUAUUUUCUACAGAGAGGAAUGACGGGCGAAAUGCUCAAAAACCUUGUUACUGACGCAAUCCUGUCCCUGGAGGACUGUGGUCUUCACGUCGUAGGCAUUGUCUGCGACGGGUUAUCAGCAAACGUUUCAAUGGCACGGCUCUUCGGAUGCAAUG
Long non-coding RNA from Ornithodoros turicata, 1473 nucleotides. RefSeq lists it as uncharacterized. The transcript has 6 exons. The record is from RefSeq and is a predicted model, not a curated record. NCBI's taxonomy places the organism in Eukaryota, Metazoa, Arthropoda, Arachnida, Ixodida, Argasidae.